Long non-coding RNA from Carassius gibelio (silver crucian carp), 237 nucleotides. RefSeq lists it as uncharacterized. The record is from RefSeq and is a predicted model, not a curated record. NCBI's taxonomy places the organism in Eukaryota, Metazoa, Chordata, Actinopteri, Cypriniformes, Cyprinidae. The transcript is spliced from 4 exons.
UCUGUCUCUCCUUUUCUGUCUGCUUCUAACUGCCUUUCAAGCAAAUACCAUUGGAUCAUGGACAACAGAUAACUGGCUUCAUUUCACUGAAGGUUUUUCAGAACCAUGUGGUGGCAAUAUGACAGAUUGGAGGGGUGUAUUACUCAGUCCCCGGUACCCUAAUAACUACCCUAAUAACGCACAAUGCACCUGGACCAUUCACAGCACAGGGAACGCAACUGUGUCACUGAUCUUCAC